Glycine soja is the source of this 1510-nucleotide long non-coding RNA. RefSeq lists it as uncharacterized. NCBI's taxonomy places the organism in Eukaryota, Viridiplantae, Streptophyta, Magnoliopsida, Fabales, Fabaceae. The transcript has 6 exons. The record is from RefSeq and is a predicted model, not a curated record.
AAAAACCACAUAUUCGAGGUUCCUUUCUCUUCUUUGAACUCCAUGGAACCCCCUCUACUCUGCCGCCGUCGGGGUUGGUUCUGGCCAUCAUAGGCCUUGUUUACACAAUUUAAACCUAUGAAAUCUCUCAUCCCGUCAACCGCUAACAAAGCCCCAAGAAAAUUUCAACAAUCAAAGCUUUUCCGGAGCCCUACCUGCGCCCUUGGGACUAAAGCUUUUUUCGUGUCAAUCGCAACAAAACCUCACUAGGUACUUUACUGGUGCCAUCUAUGUUCUGAAUCUCGUCAAGUGCAGAGCAAGGGCGGUGAUGUUGCAUUAUUUGUUCAUCGUGGAACGAAGCUUUUGGGUGGUGAUGAGAUUCAAAGGGAUUCGAAUGGUUCAUGCAUAGCUUCAGCGGUUUAUUCCCUCUCGUUGAAUGGAUAUGUUGGUUGAAUGGGCAGCGUAAAAAGGCUCCAACUCCAGAGGUAAAUAAUAAACAAGGUGAUGUGUAAAUAAUAUUGCCUACGUAUUGUUCUCUUCCACUCUUAUGUAAUGCAAGCUUGACUGAGAUAAGCACCAUAUAGACAUAAUUGUGAAGUCAAAAGUAAAUAAGUAUCUGAAAUACUUCAAGAAGAGAGGUUUUGAUUUUAUUUAAUUGUUAACUCUUCAUUCUUUUCCAUUUUUCACUUUGUUUUUAUUAAUAUUGUAUUUGUUUAUAUUUUCAAUUUAUUUCAGAGAAUAAAGAGCUUUGAGAAAAAUGAAAUUGAGGCCACAAAGGCAUUGAUCAGUUUUUAUGUUUUGCUUGCCUUUAAUCUUUGUAUGCCUUGGAUUACCCAAAUUUAAUUAUGUCCAGUUUUUGUGUGUUCUCAACUUCUUAUCUUGUCUUGCAAAAUAGCAUUCCAAAGUAGCAUCACUUAGAAAUUUUUAUUGUAUGGUAUUGAUCGUUUUCAUUUUCUAAUCCUUAACAUUUGCCCUUCAAUGAAAUCAAGCACUUAUUGGCAGGCCGAAAAGAUGAUUUCACAUAGGGAAGAGAUCUUUUCCCACCCCAAAGGAACCUGGUCUGUCACAGAGUAGGAAGAAAAGCUUGCUGUAAAAGCAUCCAAGGUGCACUCGACACACCAAUGGGAAGCCAAAUAUCUAUUCUUGUGAGGGAGCAACCAUAAGCGGUUUAUACUGUAUAAAGCUACUACUUAUGGGGUCGGUGGAUGAUCAAAUUGACUUCAUAAUGGGUGAUUUCUUCCUCUUGACACAUAAAUUAAAGGUUUAAUUGUAAGAUUGAGGAAGAAUGAAAAAGUGACUUGACAGGUGUAAGGAUAUCCUGACUGCUGCCAUUGGGCGACCAGAGCACCCUGGCCGUGUUCGUGCUGUUGGAGCCGGUGUCACCAUAAAGCAAUACUUUGGAUCAGCUUCACGAUAUUCGUCUCUACUGCAGUGGACACUGGCAAAUGGUCGUCAUUCUACCUAAGGAAAACCUAGUUGUCUGGUUUUGUUCUUUGCAUAACAGGCCAGACAACUACCUUAAGGGAAUAAU